Neogale vison (American mink) is the source of this 139-nucleotide small nuclear RNA. Its record names the gene U4. It matches the Rfam family "U4 spliceosomal RNA". Rfam says of the family: U4 small nuclear RNA (U4 snRNA) is a component of the major U2-dependent spliceosome. The structure of U4 snRNA from yeast and human has been reported. Lineage: Eukaryota; Metazoa; Chordata; Mammalia; Carnivora; Mustelidae. The record is from Ensembl.
AGCUUUGCACAGUGGCAGUAUCGUAGCCAAUGAGGUUUAUCCGAGGCGUGAUUAUUGCUAAUUGAAAACUUUUCCCAAGAAUCUAAGCUCUUGCAUCUAUGGAGAAAAACAUGGGAUUUAUUGGCUAAAGGGAAUCCUC